Molecule: non-coding RNA, 363 nt
Organism: Propithecus coquereli (Coquerel's sifaka)
Lineage: Eukaryota; Metazoa; Chordata; Mammalia; Primates; Indriidae
Source: the annotation of a RefSeq genome assembly
AUGGAGCCACAGCCCCAACUCCUGGCCUUCCUGGUACUCUGGGUCUCAGGUGCCUGUGGGGACAUUGUGAUGACUCAGUCUCCUGGUUCCCUGGCUGCGUCUCCAGGAGAGAGGGUCACCAUCAACUGCAAGUCCAGCCAAAGUCUUUUAUACAACAAUAACAACUACUUAGCCUGGUACCAGCAGAAACCAGGACAGGCUCCUAAGGUGCUCAUCUCCUGGGCAUCCACUCGGGCAUCUGGGGUCCCCGACCGAUUCAGUGGCAGUGGGUCUGGGACAGACUUCACUCUCACCAUCAGCAGCCUCCAGGCUGAAGAUGUGGCAGUUUACUACUGUGCGCAGUAUUACAACUAUCCUCCCACA